This 877-nucleotide ribosomal RNA is filed under the name uncultured eukaryote. Its description in RNAcentral is "SSU rRNA". It matches the Rfam family "Eukaryotic small subunit ribosomal RNA", at positions 636 to 1469 of the family's 1831-position model. The record is from RNAcentral.
CGGUGUUCAACUGGCGUGUCCGCGGGACGUCCUGCCGGUGGGCUUAGCCCGCAAGGGCGGCCCAACUUCAAAUCCCAUCGCGGUGCUCUUCACUGAGUGUCGAGGUGGGCCGGCACGUUUACUUUGAACAAAUUAGAGUGCUUAAAGCAGGCUAAAACUUCGCCUGAAUACUGUGUGCAUGGAAUAAUGGAAUAGGACCUCGGUUCUAUUUUGUUGGUUUUCGGAACCCCGAGGUAAUGAUUAAUAGGAACGGAUGGGGGCAUUCGUAUUGCGACGUUAGAGGUGAAAUUCUUGGAUCGUCGCAAGACGGACAGAAGCGAAAGCAUUUGCCAAAAACGCUUUCGUUGAUCAAGAACGAAAGUUAGAGGUUCGAAGGCGAUCAGAUACCGCCCUAGUUCUAACCAUAAACGAUGCCAGCUAGCGAUCCGUCGACGUUCCUCCGAUGACUCGACGGGCAGCUUCCGGGAAACCAAAGCUUUUGGGUUCCGGGGGAAGUAUGGUUGCAAAGCUGAAACUUAAAGGAAUUGACGGAAGGGCACCACCAGGAGUGGAGCCUGCGGCUUAAUUUGACUCAACACGGGAAACCUCACCAGGCCCGGACACCGGAAGGAUUGACAGAUUGAGAGCUCUUUCUUGAUUCGGUGGGUGGUGGUGCAUGGCCGUUCUUAGUUGGUGGAGCGAUUUGUCUGGUUAAUUCCGAUAACGAACGAGACUCUAGCCUGCUAACUAGGCGUAUUUUCGACAUCUCAAAGGUCCGUCGUCCCGGCCCUCGGGUCGUGGGCGUGCGCGAUUUUUACUGUCGGCGUACUAUCAAUUCUUCUUAGAGGGACAGGUGGCUUCUAGCCGCACGAGAUUGAGCAAUAACAGGUCUGUGAUG